UGGGGGAUAUUGCACAAUGGGCGAAAGCCUGAUGCAGCGACGCCGCGUGGGGGAUGAAGGCUUUCGGGUUGUAAACCUCUUUCGCUAUCGAACAAGGCCCGCUUAGGGUGGGUUGAGGGUAGGUGGAGAAGAAGCGCCGGCUAACUACUUGCCAGCAGCCGCGGUAAUACGUAGGGCGCGAGCGUUGUCCGGAAUUAUUGGGCGUAAAGGGCUUGUAGGCGGCUUGUUGCGCCUGCUGUGAAAACGCGGGGCUUAACUUCGCGCGUGCAGUGGGUACGGGCAGGGUUGAGUGUGGUAGGGGUGACUGGAAUUCCAGGUGUAGCGGUGGAAUGCGCAGAUAUCUGGAGGAACACCGAUGGCGAAGGCAGGUCACUGGGCCAUUACUGACGCUGAGGAGCGAAAGCAUGGGUAGCGAACAGG
This 420-nucleotide ribosomal RNA is filed under the name bacterium. Its description in RNAcentral is "partial 16S ribosomal RNA". It matches the Rfam family "Bacterial small subunit ribosomal RNA", at positions 355 to 776 of the family's 1533-position model. The record is from RNAcentral.